This 455-nucleotide small RNA is filed under the name Drosophila virilis. Its description in RNAcentral is "GJ25793". The record is from RNAcentral. Lineage: Eukaryota; Metazoa; Arthropoda; Insecta; Diptera; Drosophilidae.
UAUGUAUACUUGCAGAAAUGGCUGCAACAAUUAUUCGAUGUGCGCGGCGCAGUUUAUGAUUUCGGUGAGCAGCUGCAACUCGAAAAUAAAGAUCAUUGGCCUACACAGGAAUUAUGCCAGAGCACAGCAGAUCGCACACAUGCACAUGUAGAUUUCCAUUUCCCGGACUCCGCGUCUGCAUCAUCAACCCCUAAAUUGUGAGGGAUGGCUGUACGUCGUCCAAGGAUGUUGCAGCUGUUGCAAGGUGAUUUCCAAGUAUACAUACAUACAUAUGUACAAACAUUCGUACAAACAUGCAACCGAAGAACAUUCAUCUGUCGAUACGAGCACGAGGUGCGCCCUAAAAGUUUGCACAUUUGCGUCUCUUGUCACCCAAGGAUGUUUCGUCACAGACCGUUGUGCUUUGCUAAAUACAGAUGAUAUAAUAAUGUCCCCAGCAAUUGGUUUAAUUUGGA